CACGUGAGCAACCUGCCUUUAAGAGGGGGAUAACGUUUGGAAACGAACGCUAAUACCGCAUAACAUAGAAGAUUCGCAUGUUUCUUCUAUCAAAGAUUUAUCGCUUAAAGAUGGGCUCGCGUCUGAUUAGCUGGUUGGUGAGGUAACGGCUCACCAAGGCGACGAUCAGUAGCCGUACUGAGAGGUAGAACGGCCACAUUGGGACUGAGACACGGCCCAGACUCCUACGGGAGGCAGCAGUGGGGAAUAUUGCACAAUGGAGGGAACUCUGAUGCAGCGAUGCCGCGUGAGGGAAGAAGGUUUCAGGAUUGUAAACCUCUGUCUUCAGGGACGAUAAUGACGGUACCUGAGGAGGAAGCUCCGGCUAACUACGUGCCAGCAGCCGCGG
This 388-nucleotide ribosomal RNA is filed under the name uncultured bacterium. RNAcentral describes it as "bacterial SSU rRNA". It matches the Rfam family "Bacterial small subunit ribosomal RNA", at positions 114 to 520 of the family's 1533-position model. The record is from RNAcentral.